RNAcentral lists this ribosomal RNA (250 nucleotides) under uncultured bacterium. RNAcentral describes it as "partial 16S ribosomal RNA". It matches the Rfam family "Bacterial small subunit ribosomal RNA", at positions 524 to 773 of the family's 1533-position model. The record is from RNAcentral.
UACGGAGGGGACUAGCGUUGUUCGGAAUUACUGGGCGUAAAGCGCGCGUAGGCGGAUCGUUAAGUCAGGGGUGAAAUCCUGGGGCUCAACCCCAGAACUGCCCUUGAUACUGGCGGUCUUGAGUUCGAGAGAGGUGAGUGGAAUUCCGAGUGUAGAGGUGAAAUUCGUAGAUAUUCGGAGGAACACCAGUGGCGAAGGCGGCUCACUGGCUCGAUACUGACGCUGAGGUGCGAAAGCGUGGGGAGCAAAC